AACCGCCGUAUGCGGAACCGCACGUACGGUGGUGUGAGAGGGCGGUGAGGGCGACCUCACCCCCUACUCGAU
Non-coding RNA from Massilia sp. LC238, 72 nucleotides. NCBI's taxonomy places the organism in Bacteria, Pseudomonadati, Pseudomonadota, Betaproteobacteria, Burkholderiales, Oxalobacteraceae. The record is from Rfam.